This 205-nucleotide long non-coding RNA is filed under the name Spirodela polyrhiza (greater duckweed). RNAcentral describes it as "long non-coding RNA (SPOL_LNC001454)". Lineage: Eukaryota; Viridiplantae; Streptophyta; Magnoliopsida; Alismatales; Araceae. The record is from RNAcentral.
GUAGAGAACGUUACCGAGCGAGCGUGGGGACAACAAAGUAAACGCCGGAGAAGUGAAUAUCCUAGAUUUUCCUGCCCAGUGUUAGUCAAAACAUUUUUAACCAUUUAUUGAGUCAAACCAUACGCCUGAUCACAUUUUGUUUCUGAUACGAUCCCGAUUCGUGUAUACGAGAGACGCAAGAGACAGGGCAACAGGGAGACUGUUG